Molecule: non-coding RNA, 593 nt
Organism: Pelodiscus sinensis (Chinese soft-shelled turtle)
Lineage: Eukaryota; Metazoa; Chordata; Testudines; Trionychidae
Source: RefSeq, a predicted model, not a curated record
UUCAAGACUUGCUGCAUUGGGAGAGUACAGUACAAAAGCAACAUUUGCAGGACCAACAUCAAUAGACCAUGAUGAGUUGUGAAGGAAACAACUGGGUGGGGAACGGUUUUUUGCAGUUUGAUUUUUCUCAUCUUUCUAGCAUGAAUGGCUUAGGUUUUUUUUAACAGAGCAAUAUUUUCUCCAGUGUUCCAACACUCCAUAUUCUAAUCCUGACGCGAGCCCUACGCCAGCUUUUCCUGCCUUCUGUUCUUGGCACUCUGACAUCAUAACCCCUGCAUAUCCUGUCACUGAAACAAAUGUCUGAGAGAUUCCACCGCUUCCCUUUAAUUGGAACUAGCUUGUUCCAAGGAGCUGAAGAGGCAAACUGUUCAGAGUAUCCAGAGACUUCCACGAGGGAACUAGGAAAGCUCAGUGCUUCUGAAAAAUCUGUGCACUACUUUGGAAUACCGAGGCCCUGUUAGCUCUCAAGGAAGCAGCGGUGUGGAUGAAGUGGUCUCCGCAGCUCUUCCAGGAGGUCUCAUCCUAGCUACGGUAAGCACUGUACUGCUCGCACUAUCUCCAGCAAUGAGCAAAAGCACCAGGUCUGAAGAAAG